GCCUUUGAGGGGUGGAAAGACAGAGUCAAAGUCUCCCUUGACCUCCAGGAGAGUGAAGCUCCAGAUGAUUUGGCUGCUGAAAAUGCAAAUGAAUAUUCAUAUACUGCUGAAUUUGAAAAGGGAACAGCGCAAGCACUUGGGCCAGCAACAGCUGAUCAAGUAGACAAAAAUGUACAUGGGAACGAUCUUGAAAGAGAAACUGCAACUAUGGAGAGAAAAGAUGACAUUUCUGAAAUGGAGAUUGAGAGGCAUCUGUCUGAAGCACACACUAUCAGUAAUUCUGCUUUAAGUUUCAGCAAUGACAAGGGCAAGGGAUCAGAGAUGAUGAACACUGAGGAGCAACUGGAAUCACCAUCUGAAGUUGAUACUAGAGAUGGUACCACUGUCCCUAGUUUGUCCCAGAGUAUGGUGUCUGUGAACAGGUCCUUUUUGUCUGAGGACAUAAAUCGGCUUAGCGAGCUCUCGGUAGAUGAUGACAACCUGGGC
RNAcentral lists this unclassified non-coding RNA (486 nucleotides) under Hevea brasiliensis (rubber tree). The record is from RNAcentral. Lineage: Eukaryota; Viridiplantae; Streptophyta; Magnoliopsida; Malpighiales; Euphorbiaceae.